GCUGAUCUCGUACGGUGGGCUUUAAACUAGUUUUGCCGGGGGAAGGGGCUGCUUUGAGUGGAGAGGAUGCUUCACCAGCAUGCAGGGUGACAAGAGGAAGGGAAGCAGAGGUCAGUGGCUGUGUUUGCUUGCAGAUGCUCCAGUGGGAAAAGCGGCUACCAGUGCGCCUGCACUCCAGCAACCCAGGAGCAGAUGCAGCUCUCAAGGAAUGGAGACAGGGACCCAGGCCAGUCAGUUCCCCACCAUUGAGGCCAGCCCCCAGGCAGAGGGCACCCAGCAUGAAGACACCUCCACCCAGACCAGGACCCUCUGCCUGGCUGAGGUGGGGUGCCAGGCUGACCCCCUGCUGAAGUUGGAGGUGAACACCCAGACCAAGGGGCAUCACUGUCUAAAAUAGACAAGACAGGGAAAAUGUGUGAUGCUUUUCCUAGUGUUAGCUUACUGAGCAUGGGAUUUGUGUGAGGAGUGGAGGGAGGGCUGGUGCCAGGUCCUGGGAAGGCUCUAGCAGGUUAGGAGAAGGAUGUGUUGAGAUCCAGGACUCCUGGGUUCCUUCCCAGCUCUGGAGGCCUUGGGAGAGAAGAGAUGAGUGAAGGGGAAAUGCCUAGUGUAUCUUUAGUAAGUGCCUUGCCCGCAAAUCCCUCCAGCGCCCUGUGUAUCUAGGUGGGACAGGGCUGGGGAAGGGGCUUCACAGGCCUGGGCUCUCUGGGCUGGAGGUCCUGCCUGUAGUGUAUAUCCAGAUUGCACCGAGGGAGCAGAUGCAGGCCCUGGCAGCACAGAGGG
This is a long non-coding RNA of Alligator mississippiensis (American alligator), 780 nucleotides long. RefSeq lists it as uncharacterized. NCBI's taxonomy places the organism in Eukaryota, Metazoa, Chordata, Crocodylia, Alligatoridae. The transcript has 3 exons. The record is from RefSeq and is a predicted model, not a curated record.